This 301-nucleotide ribosomal RNA is filed under the name uncultured bacterium. RNAcentral's name for it is "partial 16S ribosomal RNA". It matches the Rfam family "Bacterial small subunit ribosomal RNA", at positions 509 to 807 of the family's 1533-position model. The record is from RNAcentral.
CAGCAGCCGCGGGAACACAGAGGGUGCGAGCGUUAAUCGGAUUUACUGGGCGUAAAGCGUGCGUAGGCGGCUAAUUGAGUCGGAUGUGAAAUCCCCGAGCUUAACUUGGGAAUUGCAUUCGAUACUGGUUAGCUAGAGUGUGGGAGAGGAUGGUAGAAUUCCAGGUGUAGCGGUGAAAUGCGUAGAGAUCUGGAGGAAUACCGAUGGCGAAGGCAGCCAUCUGGCCUAACACUGACGCUGAGGUACGAAAGCAUGGGGAGCAAACAGGAUUAGAUACCCGCGUAGUCCCUGUCUCUUAUAC